RNAcentral lists this ribosomal RNA (117 nucleotides) under Candidatus Berkelbacteria bacterium. The record is from RNAcentral. Lineage: Bacteria; Candidatus Berkelbacteria.
GUUGGUGGCAAUGGCGAGGUGGGUACACCUCUUCCCAUUCCGAACAGAGAAGUUAAGCACCUCUGCGCCGAUGGUACUUACGCCGCAAGGCGUUGGGAGAGUAGGGCGCCGCCAACA